AGAGUUUGAUCAUGGCUCAGGACGAACGCUGGCGGCGUGCUUAACACAUGCAAGUCGAGCGGAAAGGGCCACUUCGGUGGUACUCGAGCGGCGAACGGGUGAGUAACACGUGAGUAAUCUGCCCUUCACUUCGGGAUAGCUUCGGGAAACCGAAAUUAAUACCGGAUAUGAUCAUCGUCCGCAUGGGUGGUGGUGGAAAGUUUUUUCGGUGGGGGAUGUACUCGCGGCCUAUCAGCUUGUUGGUGGGGUAAUGGCCUACCAAGGCUUCGACGGGUAGCCGGCCUGAGAGGGUGACCGGCCACACUGGGACUGAGACACGGCCCAGACCCCUACGGGAGGCAGCAGUGGGGAAUAUUGGACAAUGGGCGGAAGCCUGAUCCAGCAACGCCGCGUGAGGGAUGACGGCCUUCGGGUUGUAAACCUCUUUCACCUCCGACGAAGCGUGAGUGACGGUAGGGGGAGAAGAAGCACCGGCCAACUACGUGCCAGCAGCCGCGGUAAUACGUAGGGUGCGAGCGUUGUCCGGAAUUAUUGGGCGUAAAGGGCUCGUAGGCGGUUUGUCGCGUCGGGAGUGAAAACACCGGGCUUAACUCGGUGCUUGCUUUCGAUACGGGCAGACUAGAGGUAUGCAGGGGAGAACGGAAUUCCUGGUGUAGCGGUGAAAUGCGCAGAUAUCAGGAGGAACACCGGUGGCGAAGGCGGUUCUCUGGGCAUGACCUGACGCUGAGGAGCGAAAGUGUGGGGGAGCGAACAGGAUUAGAUACCCUGGUAGUCCACACCGUAAACGUUGGGCGCUAGGUGUGGGGCCUAUUCCAUGGGUUCCGUGCCGCAGCUAACGCAUUAAGCGCCCCGCCUGGGGAGUACGGCCGCAAGGCUAAAACUCAAAGGAAUUGACGAAUCGUCGACCUGCAGGCAUGCAAGCUUGGCACUGGCCGUCGUUUACAACGUCGUGACUGGGAAAACCCUG
RNAcentral lists this ribosomal RNA (967 nucleotides) under uncultured bacterium. Its description in RNAcentral is "bacterial SSU rRNA". It matches the Rfam family "Bacterial small subunit ribosomal RNA". The record is from RNAcentral.